Molecule: ribosomal RNA, 1799 nt
Filed under: Triticum aestivum (bread wheat)
Lineage: Eukaryota; Viridiplantae; Streptophyta; Magnoliopsida; Poales; Poaceae
Description: partial small subunit ribosomal RNA
Source: RNAcentral
GAGGAGAAACUGGAGGUGGGCUAAGAGCAGCUAGCUUUCUGUAGGGGCUAAGGGGUGGGUGGGUGGCUCGGGAUUGGGAUUGGGGCCGAUGGCUUCUACGGCCGCUGCCGCCCCGCGCAAGCGUACGGCCGCUUGUUGGCGCACGUGUCGUCGCGCCGCGACGUCUGCGUGCCGUAGACCGUCUCGCGGUAGCCGAUGCUGGGGAUGCGGGGGCUCUUGUUGUUCGUCGUCCGGGGGAGGAGGAGGCAGAGGCGGUUGCGGCGUCGGCGCCGUCGGUUGCGGCGGCGGCUUCGGCGGCGCGGAGGGAGGAGCCUGGGGCCCCGGAGCAGCCUCUUGCGGAUGUGGUCGAAGGUCCCGGAGGAGCGCGAGCGGGCGCAGUGGCCUAGGUUGAGGCUGCUCUGGGCCCCGCGGACGUUCUUCACGCCGGCACAACCGGUAGAGUGAAAGGUCACGGCGUUGAAGGAAAGACAGUUCCUCGAACGGUACCUGCUGCUGUAGGUUCGACCGUACGACAGGCGGCGCGUCCGGUUCCGGUUCAAGCUCCUCUAGUGCUUCUUUCGGAGACCACGGUCUCUGCGACUGCUCCUCCCAAGACUGCUCCUUCUACUCCUACUCUAACUGUCGCUAAGGAGACUAAGACUAUAACUAGGGCUCGACCUCUUCUAUUAACGACUUGCCCUCGCACGGUUCUCGGCACCUCCCUUCGCCAGUCCCCUCCUCCUGUUCUUCUGUUCGGCGGUAUUCUCGUUCUCGUCCCCUUCUAGCUUCGUGUCCUCCUCGUCCUUCUCACUGUCACUCCUGCUAAGCCUCCUCCUCUCUUGGUUCCUGUUCUUCUUCUUAUCCGCCUUCUUCGUGUCUAGGAGUCUACUCCUAUCGCUCUCACUGAGACUGUCCUUCUCCGUGUACUUCUCAUCCUUUCUAUCCUUCUCCGCCUCCUGCGUGGCGGCCUUCCUACUGAGUAGUCUCCUACUACUUAGACCUCCCCUUCUCUCCUCCGUAGUGGCGGUGGUAUUCUCCGCAGUAGUGGCCUCCCUACGUAGACCAUCACUGUCACUACCCUCGCUUAGGGGUGUACUUUCCUUCGCUAGGUCAUUUGUCUUCUCGGUGUUCUCCAGUCUUUCGGUACCUAACCCACUCCUACUCGCUGUAACAGGCGUCCCCCGUUCAGCGAGACCUCUCUUCUCGUCCCUCGUAUUCUCCCCGAUUUCUCCUCGCGACUUCGCAUUACCUCGGACAUUUCGUCCUUCAAUAUAGUUCUAACCGGAACAUAUUUCGAGAAGUCAUUAGUCCACCAUUUUCCGAUAACCCACCCUAUUGAAUACGUCCAAAUACGUCUUGAGUCUACAAAGAUACGAACAUAAAGUCAAAAGGACGUUUAAGUACACGGUAUCUGUGCAUCAUUUUAGCCAUGACUGUGUAUAUAAACCAGUUGUAAAGAUUUUCAGACUAAACUACAGUCGACUAAAUAACAACGUCUGUACCAUCGAGAGAUAUAUUAACCAAAACUCAACUUCUACUACUAGAUAUGAUGAGGGAAACAAAGAUUUAUAUUCAGAAAAAUCUCUAAGGUUGUACCUGAUGUAUGCCUCGUUUUACUCACUUAGAUGUGAGAUUUUAUGAGGGAGGCAAGGUUUUAUCUACUGGGUUGAAACAUGAUCUGAAUUAUGCUUCAACUCAGUUGAUAAAACCUUGCCUCCCACAUACAUCGGGACACGCAAGCCAAAUAAGCCAAAUGUACCAAGCCAAAUAUGCCAAAAAGCCAUACAUGCCAUAAUUAUGAAGCCAUUUAUGCCAAGCCA